GACGAACGCUGGCGGCGUGCUUAACACAUGCAAGUCGAACGGAAAGGCCCUGCUUUUGUGGGGUGCUCGAGUGGCGAACGGGUGAGUAACACGUGAGUAACCUGCCCUUGACUUUGGGAUAACUUCAGGAAACUGGGGCUAAUACCGGAUAGGAGCUCCUGCUGCAUGGUGGGGGUUGGAAAGUUUCGGCGGUUGGGGAUGGACUCGCGGCUUAUCAGCUUGUUGGUGGGGUAGUGGCUUACCAAGGCUUUGACGGGUAGCCGGCCUGAGAGGGUGACCGGCCACAUUGGGACUGAGAUACGGCCCAGACUCCUACGGGAGGCAGCAGUGGGGAAUAUUGCACAAUGGGAGGAAGCCUGAUGCAGAAACGCUGCGUGCGGGAUGACGGCCUUCGGGUUGUAAACCGCUUUCGCCUGUGACGAAGCGUGAGUGACGGUAAUGGGUAAAGAAGCACCGGCUAACUACGUG
Molecule: ribosomal RNA, 468 nt
Filed under: uncultured bacterium
Lineage: Bacteria
Description: partial 16S ribosomal RNA
Rfam family: Bacterial small subunit ribosomal RNA
Source: RNAcentral